AUACAUGCAAGUCGAGCGGACAGAUGGGAGCUUGCUCCCUGAUGUUAGCGGCGGACGGGUGAGUAACACGUGGGUAACCUGCCUGUAAGACUGGGAUAACUCCGGGAAACCGGGGCUAAUACCGGAUGGUUGUCUGAACCGCAUGGUUCAGACAUAAAAGGUGGCUUCGGCUACCACUUACAGAUGGACCCGCGGCGCAUUAGCUAGUUGGUGAGGUAACGGCUCACCAAGGCGACGAUGCGUAGCCGACCUGAGAGGGUGAUCGGCCACACUGGGACUGAGACACGGCCCAGACUCCUACGGGAGGCAGCAGUAGGGAAUCUUCCGCAAUGGACGAAAGUCUGACGGAGCAACGCCGCGUGAGUGAUGAAGGUUUUCGGAUCGUAAAGCUCUGUUGUUAGGGAAGAACAAGUGCCGUUCAAAUAGGGCGGCACCUUGACGGUACCUAACCAGAAAGCCACGGCUAACUACGUGCCAGCAGCCGCGGUAAUACGUAGGUGGCAAGCGUUGUCCGGAAUUAUUGGGCGUAAAGGGCUCGCAGGCGGUUUCUUAAGUCUGAUGUGAAAGCCCCCGGCUCAACCGGGGAGGGUCAUUGGAAACUGGGGAACUUGAGUGCAGAAGAGGAGAGUGGAAUUCCACGUGUAGCGGUGAAAUGCGUAGAGAUGUGGAGGAACACCAGUGGCGAAGGCGACUCUCUGGUCUGUAACUGACGCUGAGGAGCGAAAGCGUGGGGAGCGACCAGGAUUAGAUACGCUGGUAGUCCACGCCGUAAAACGAUGAGUGACUAAGUGUAGGGGGUUUCCCCCCCCUCAGUGCUGCAGCUAACCCAUUAAGCACUCGGCCUGGCGAGUAUGGACGCAAGACUGAUACUCAAAGGAAUAGACAGGGGGCCCGCACACCUGUUGCAGCCUGUGUUUUGUAUCUAAGUCACGCAAAAACA
Molecule: ribosomal RNA, 940 nt
Filed under: Bacillus amyloliquefaciens
Lineage: Bacteria; Bacillati; Bacillota; Bacilli; Caryophanales; Bacillaceae
Description: bacterial SSU rRNA
Rfam family: Bacterial small subunit ribosomal RNA
Source: RNAcentral